GUGAGGAAUAUUGGUCAAUGGGCGGGAGCCUGAACCAGCCAAGUCGCGUGAAGGAAGAAGGAUCUAUGGUUCGUAAACUUCUUUUGCAGGGGAAUAAAGUGCAGGACGUGUCCUGUUUUGUAUGUACCCUGAGAAUAAGGAUCGGCUAACUCCGUGCCAGCAGCCGCGGUAAUACGGAGGAUCCGAGCGUUAUCCGGAUUUAUUGGGUUUAAAGGGUGCGUAGGUGGUUUGAUAAGUCAGCGGUGAAAGUUUGCAGCUUAACUGUAAAAAUGCCGUUGAAACUGUCGGACUUGAGUGUAAAUGAGGUAGGCGGAAUGCGUGGUGUAGCGGUGAAAUGCAUAGAUAUCACGCAGAACUCCGAUUGCGAAGGCAGCUUACUAAGCUACAACUGACACUGAAGCACGAAAGCGUGGGGAUCAAACAGGAUUAGAUACCCUGGUAGUCC
This 445-nucleotide ribosomal RNA is filed under the name uncultured bacterium. RNAcentral describes it as "bacterial SSU rRNA". It matches the Rfam family "Bacterial small subunit ribosomal RNA", at positions 354 to 796 of the family's 1533-position model. The record is from RNAcentral.